Molecule: ribosomal RNA, 403 nt
Filed under: uncultured bacterium
Lineage: Bacteria
Description: partial 16S ribosomal RNA
Rfam family: Bacterial small subunit ribosomal RNA
Source: RNAcentral
AUUGAACGCUGGCGGCAGGCCUAACACAUGAAAGUCGAGCGAGCGGCGGACGGGUGAGUAAUGUAUGGGGACUGCCCGAUAGAGGGGGAUAACUACUGGAACCGGUGGCUAAUACCGCAUACGGUCGGAUAACCCAUAUGGGAUUAGCUAGUAGGUAAGGUAAUGGCUUACCUAGGCGACGAUCCCUAGCUGGUCUGAGAGGAUGAUCAGCCACACUGGGACUACGACACGGCCCAGACUCCUACGGAGGCAGCAGUGGGGAAUAUUGCACAAGGGGCGCAAGCCUGAUGCAGCCAUGCCGCGUGUAUGAAGAAGGCCCUAGGGUUGUAAAGUACUUUCAGUCGGGAGGCGUUACCGACAGAAGAAGCACCGGCUAACUCCGUGCCAGCAGCCGCGGUAAUAC